AUUGAACGCUGGCGGCAGGCCUAACACAUGCAAGUCGAACGAGGGGCGGACGGGUGUGUAAUGUCUGGGAACCUGCCUGAUGGAGGGGGAUAACUACUGGAACCGGUAGCAAAUACCGCAUACCAUCGGAUGUGCCCAGAUGGGAUUAGCUAGUAGGUGGGGUUAAGGCUCACCAAGGCGACGAUCCCUAGCUGGUCUGAGCGGAGGACCAGCGACACUUGAACUGAGACACGGGCCAGACUCCUACGGGAGGCAGCAGUGGGGAAUAUUGCACAAUGGGCGCAAGCCUGAUGCAGCCAUGCCGCGGGUAUGAAGAAGGCCUUCGGGGUGUAAAGUACUUUCAGCUGGGAUGCGUUACCCGCAGAAGAAGCACCGGCUAACUCCGUGCCAGCAGCCGCGGUAAUAC
This 406-nucleotide ribosomal RNA is filed under the name uncultured bacterium. Its description in RNAcentral is "partial 16S ribosomal RNA". It matches the Rfam family "Bacterial small subunit ribosomal RNA", at positions 30 to 526 of the family's 1533-position model. The record is from RNAcentral.